CAGGACUCGCAAGACUCCUACAACCCUGUGAACUUACUACAAAGCACGUUGCUUCGGCGGGUGCCUCCGGGCGGGUUUUCCCACCCGGGCGCGCUAAGCCCGCCGGCAGCCUACUAAAUUCUGUCUCUUUGCGUUGGCAUCUCGAGUACAAACAAAUAAGUUA
RNAcentral lists this unclassified non-coding RNA (163 nucleotides) under uncultured fungus. Its description in RNAcentral is "sequence contains ITS1, 5.8S rRNA gene". The record is from RNAcentral. Lineage: Eukaryota; Fungi.